Molecule: ribosomal RNA, 490 nt
Filed under: uncultured bacterium
Lineage: Bacteria
Description: bacterial SSU rRNA
Rfam family: Bacterial small subunit ribosomal RNA
Source: RNAcentral
CUACGUGCCAGCAGCCGCGGUAAUACGGAGGGUGCGAGCGUUAAUCGGAAUAACUGGGCGUAAAGGGCACGCAGGCGGUUAUUUAAGUGAGGUGUGUAAGCCCCGGGCUUAACCUGGGAAUUGCAUUUCAGACUGGGUAACUAGAGUACUUUAGGGAGGGGUAGAAUUCCACGUGUAGCGGUGAAAUGCGUAGAGAUGUGGAGGAAUACCGAAGGCGAAGGCAGCCCCUUGGGAAUGUACUGACGCUCAUGUGCGAAAGCGUGGGGAGCAAACAGGAUUAGAUACCCUGGUAGUCCACGCUGUAAACGAUGUCGAUUUGGGGGUUGAACUUUAAGUUUGGCGCCCGUAGCUAACGUGAUAAAUCGACCGCCUGGGGAGUACGGCCGCAAGGUUAAAACUCAAAUGAAUUGACGGGGGCCCGCACAAGCGGUGGAGCAUGUGGUUUAAUUCGAUGCAACGCGAAGAACCUUACCUACUCUUGACAUCCAGA